Carcharodon carcharias (great white shark) is the source of this 440-nucleotide long non-coding RNA. RefSeq lists it as uncharacterized. The record is from RefSeq and is a predicted model, not a curated record. Lineage: Eukaryota; Metazoa; Chordata; Chondrichthyes; Lamniformes; Lamnidae. The transcript has 2 exons.
UCCAAUGACUGGAGCCGGAACUGCCUCCAGCGGCCAGGGGCACUCGGUGACUGUCAAAUAGAAACACAGGAAUCCAAGGAAACACAAGAAGACUACACGCACAAACAGGGCCAGGGAACUACAUUCAUAUAUAGUUGCUGAUGAAUUGCAGCCUGACAUAAUUAACACAUUUACCUUCGGCCGAAUACUGUCUCAAAUUGGGUUUCCCGAGUGAAAACAGUUCAAGGAAAAUGUAGUUAUUGCACAGAAACAAAAGCAGCUCAUCGCCUGUUCCCCAAAGCUGACCGCCAGUCGGAUUGGCAGAUCCUGGCCGCCACGGGGUCCUGUAAUUUUCUAGACUUUGGCUUUCGCAAAGCCUUACGGUUAUGUGGAACAUUAAAGUGUGACGGCUAAAUAGUUACGUCACCACAAUGAAUAAAUGAAGCUCUUUCAUAAUUGAA